RNAcentral lists this signal recognition particle RNA (261 nucleotides) under Chloroflexota bacterium. RNAcentral describes it as "Chloroflexi bacterium signal recognition particle sRNA large type". It matches the Rfam family "Bacterial large signal recognition particle RNA". From Rfam's summary of the family: The signal recognition particle (SRP) is a universally conserved ribonucleoprotein involved in the co-translational targeting of proteins to membranes. Lineage: Bacteria; Bacillati; Chloroflexota. RNAcentral also lists the same sequence under 1 other name. The record is from RNAcentral.
CCGCGCUAGACGGGGAGCUAGCGGUGCCCUGUACCCGCAAUCCGCUAUAGCGGGGUUGAAUGCCUCCCCCAGGCAGGGCCGGUGGGCCCAUAUCCCGGGCGGAUGAUAUUGAGGGUUGGGUCCCACGCGGCGUAGACUUGCGAACCCCGCCAGGCCGGAAGGAGCAACGGUAAGCAGGACACUACGGGUGCCGUGGGAGCGCCUGACCUGAGUCACCACCUGGGACACGCUCAGCGUCUUGUGUCGAAGGAAGGUGCGCGG